Molecule: long non-coding RNA, 1171 nt
Organism: Herpailurus yagouaroundi (jaguarundi)
Lineage: Eukaryota; Metazoa; Chordata; Mammalia; Carnivora; Felidae
Exons: 2
Source: RefSeq, a predicted model, not a curated record
GGUCGGCAGGGUGGUGCUUCCAGGGCCCUCGCUUGUCCCCCAGCCUGGACAACGCCAUCCCUGGCUUCUCCCCUGCCCGGGGGAGUCUCCUGGGGUCUUCAAGGCCAAGGUAUCCAGGAUGAAAUGAACCCCUGCACCAGAUCACAGGCCCAGUCCCGUGAUCCUCAGGAAAGACCCCCUUAACUGUCCUUCACCCCCUUCCCUCUUCUGUCAGGAGGUGGGUUGGGUUGGAAAAGGAGUGAUGUGUGAGCAAGAAGUCCUGUGUCUGGGCUUUGACUAAGCAUUCAGCUGCUCUCCCCAGGGCCAGAAGCACCCUCGGGGCCAGGCCACAGCAGUGACAUUACUAUCCCAGGCCAGGGCCCCCUACCCCCACCCCAUGUCCUCUGGGGUUGGCUAUAUAGCCCCUCCCUCCGCUUUGCAGGGCCUUCCGUGGGUACAGACCAAUUACCAAGUACAAAUGAUUACUAAAAAAUGGUAGCAAGAGAAAGGCAUAAGUGGAAGAGUUCAGAGGAAGAACCUGAUGGAGAAUCAGUUUUGUGCCAACGAGGGAAACCAGGAGGCAAUCCAAAAUGACAGAGCGGCCAGAGUAUGUGCAGGAGGAGGAGAAUGGGAUACGUCCUCCUGAUCCUCCCAAAGGAGGCCCCGUCCCUCCCUCACCCGGUCCAGAGGCUGAAACAUGGCAAAGAGCGUUUAGCAGGCAUCCCCCCGUCCCCAUGGAGAAGGACAAAUGGCAGGCUUCAAGAAGGUCAAAACUAAAGAGGAUCUUAGGCCUCUAGGCCAACUCUAUGGGGAAACUGAGGCUCAUGGAAAGACAGAGGCUCUCCAGCUCCCAGAAGUCUCUUGCACAGCUGAACCCUCUUCCUCCUCACCUAAGAGAGGCAAUCCCCAGCCUGUCCAUGGAUCCAAAGUCAAGUCGAACCUCCUAACCGUGAGGGCCUCGGUGCCCCUGUCAGAGGCUCUGCAAAGGCCCGGCAAAGGCCAGAAGAAACUGUUAAUGGGGGGUGAUCUGGGGGAGGCCUUCCUUUCUCCUCACUGGAGUUUAUCUGUGUUGACUGGUCUGCAUAAGAUGCGUUUCAAUCUUGGCUCUCCUUAAGAAGAUACCUUUUAAGAUUUUUUUUCCCUUGGUCCAAGACCAUCUAAAGAUAAGAAUUAGGAGGCUUUCUUUGGUUUG